AGAACGAACGCUGGCGGCAUGCCUAACACGUGCAAGUCGAACGAGACCUUCGGGUCCAGUGGCGCACGGGUGCGUAACGCGUGGGAAUCUACCCUUGGGUUCGGAAUAACAGUUGGAAACGACUGCUAAUACCGGAUGAUGUCGCAAGACCAAAGAUUUAUCGCCCAAGGAUGAGCCCGCGUAGGAUUAGCUAGUUGGUGAGGUAAAGGCUCACCAAGGCGACGAUCCUUAGCUGGUCUGAGAGGAUGAUCAGCCACACUGGGACUGAGACACGGCCCAGACUCCUACGGGAGGCAGCAGUGGGGAAUAUUGGACAAUGGGCGAAAGCCUGAUCCAGCAAUGCGCGUGAGUGAUGAAGGCCUUAGGUUGUAAAGCUCUUUUACCGGGAUGAUAAUGACAGUACCGGGAGAAUAAGCUCCGGCUAACUCCGUGCCAGCAGCCGC
This 443-nucleotide ribosomal RNA is filed under the name uncultured soil bacterium. RNAcentral's name for it is "bacterial SSU rRNA". It matches the Rfam family "Bacterial small subunit ribosomal RNA", at positions 26 to 518 of the family's 1533-position model. The record is from RNAcentral.